AAAACAAUAGAAACCUGUGAAAAAAACGUUAGAUGUUGUUCAGUUUCUGUUUCAGGCAAAACACGUUUUUUUUUUUUUGUUUUUUUUUUACAGAAAUCAGAGACACUGAGCAGAGUGUGGUAAACCAGUUCUUUCUGCUCUACUCUGUAACGAUUGUGGUGAUUCUAGUGCUUUCUGUUCCAGUACUGAUUAAAACCAUCUGCAGGAAAGAGUAUUCUCUGCGAGACAAGGUAAGAAUGAACAAACACUUGGUUCAUUACUUUACAAAUAUUAAUGUGCAUUAAACUCAGUCACUGAUUUGUCUGUAGGACACCCUCACCACUGUGUUUUAUGAAGAAGCAGAAGAUUCCAGUCUGCAGGAAUAGAGCUUCCCACCGAUUCCACUGCGAGGGCCUUUAACAGUCUUCAGUUAUUCUAUUUUAUUAAAUCAAACUAAAAUCUUAAAAGUAAAUCUUUAAUUUAAAGAGAGAUCAUUUAAUGUUUAUCUUUCACAAACCAGUAAUAAUUUACAUGUACGUCACAUAUGAAUAAAGUGUUGUGUUAAAUUGAAAAAGUAUAUUUU
This 562-nucleotide long non-coding RNA is filed under the name Astyanax mexicanus (Mexican tetra). RNAcentral's name for it is "lncRNA (ENSAMXG00005002782.1)". Lineage: Eukaryota; Metazoa; Chordata; Actinopteri; Characiformes; Acestrorhamphidae. The record is from RNAcentral.